GGGACAGAAAAAAAUGGAAACGUGUAAGGUACAUUACAAAUAAGUUAACAAUAUGUAAAAGCACAAACUUAACCAUUUGUAAAGAUAAAAUAUUGAAGAAGAGACCUAUAACUUAAAAUAUGCACCAAAUAUAAUGUAUAAAAUAAUCAUAAAAAGAUUAAUUCAAGAAGGUUUGGAGUCUGAUGAAAGUGAAUAUUUCUACACGAACAACAUUAAUUUGAAAUCAUCUUGGUAGAUAUC
This 240-nucleotide long non-coding RNA is filed under the name Elaeis guineensis (African oil palm). RNAcentral's name for it is "long non-coding RNA (EGUI_LNC079416)". Lineage: Eukaryota; Viridiplantae; Streptophyta; Magnoliopsida; Arecales; Arecaceae. The record is from RNAcentral.